CCUGCUCAGAUUGAACGCUGGCGGCAGGCCUAACACAUGCAAGUCGAGCGGUAGAGAGAAGCUUGCUUCUCUUGAGAGCGGCGGACGGGUGAGUAAAGCCUAGGAAUCUGCCUGGUAGUGGGGGAUAACGUUCGGAAACGGACGCUAAUACCGCAUACGUCCUACGGGAGAAAGCAGGGGACCUUCGGGCCUUGCGCUAUCAGAUGAGCCUAGGUCGGAUUAGCUAGUUGGUGAGGUAAUGGCUCACCAAGGCGACGAUCCGUAACUGGUCUGAGAGGAUGAUCAGUCACACUGGAACUGAGACACGGUCCAGACUCCUACGGGAGGCAGCAGUGGGGAAUAUUGGACAAUGGGCGAAAGCCUGAUCCAGCCAUGCCGCGUGUGUGAAGAAGGUCUUCGGAUUGUAAAGCACUUUAAGUUGGGAGGAAGGGCAGUUACCUAAUACGUGAUUGUUUUGACGUUACCGACAGAAUAAGCACCGGCUAACU
This 488-nucleotide ribosomal RNA is filed under the name Pseudomonas sp. 01WB04.2-12. RNAcentral's name for it is "bacterial SSU rRNA". It matches the Rfam family "Bacterial small subunit ribosomal RNA", at positions 19 to 502 of the family's 1533-position model. Lineage: Bacteria; Pseudomonadati; Pseudomonadota; Gammaproteobacteria; Pseudomonadales; Pseudomonadaceae. The record is from RNAcentral.